GACGAACGCUGGCGGCGUGCCUAAUACAUGCAAGUUGAGCGCUGAAGGUUGGUACUUGUACCGACUGGAUGAGCAGCGAACGGGUGAGUAACGCGUGGGGAAUCUGCCUUUGAGCGGGGGACAACAUUUGGAAACGAAUGCUAAUACCGCAUAAAAACUUUAAACACAAGUUUUAAGUUUGAAAGAUGCAAUUGCAUCACUCAAAGAUGAUCCCGCGUUGUAUUAGCUAGUUGGUGAGGUAAAGGCUCACCAAGGCGAUGAUACAUAGCCGACCUGAGAGGGUGAUCGGCCACAUUGGGACUGAGACACGGCCCAAACUCCUACGGGAGGCAGCAGUAGGGAAUCUUCGGCAAUGGACGAAAGUCUGACCGAGCAACGCCGCGGGAGUGAAGAAGGUUUUCGGAUCGUAAAACUCGGUUGGUAGAGAAGAAAGUCGGUGAGAGUGGAAAGCUCAUCAAGUGACGGUAACUACCCAGAAAGGGACGGCUAACUACGUG
This 497-nucleotide ribosomal RNA is filed under the name uncultured bacterium. RNAcentral's name for it is "partial 16S ribosomal RNA". It matches the Rfam family "Bacterial small subunit ribosomal RNA", at positions 28 to 507 of the family's 1533-position model. The record is from RNAcentral.